AUGGUUAAUUGUUUUCUACAAAAUCAGCCAAUUGUUCAUAAGGUGAUAUUAUUUAUGUCUUCUCGAACCUGCACCCUACGGUUUUACUUUGACUUCUCUCCGACCUAUGUCGGAGUUGGAAUGAUUUGCCCACAUAUUGUCAACGUAUCUGUUCUCCUUGGAGGCAUCCUGUCUUGGGGAAUAAUGUGGCCUCUCAUAGCCAAGAAAAGGGGUAUUUGGUUCGCUGCCAAUCUUGCUGAUACUAGUCUUCACGGAAUGCAAGGUUACCGGGUGUUCAUAGCCAUUGCCUUGAUUCUCGGUGAUGGCCUCUACAACUUUCUCAAGAUGCUCAUUCUCACAGCCUGGUCAUUAAGAUCUCAACACAAGAAGAGUAGCGCUAGUACACUUCCAAUCUCUGAUGAUGAACCAAGUAAUGGUACUGCAACUAUAUCAUACGAUGAGGAGCGACGCAAUGAACUCUUUCUAAAGGAUCAAAUCCCCUGGUACAUUGCAUAUGGAGGCUAUGCUGCUGUUGCCGCCGUAUCUAUUGGCACUGUCCCACAGAUAUUCCCUCAGCUGAAGUGGUACCAAAUAUUGGUAGCCUAUAUCGUAGCACCGAUACUUGCCUUCUGCAAUGCCUAUGGAACUGGCCUCACUGAUUGGUCUCUCGUUACAACUUAUGGAAAGCUCGCAAUCUUCGCUUUCGGUGCAUGGACAGGUGCUUCACAUGGAGGUGUUCUUGCAGGUCUGGCUGCCUGUGGUGUGAUGAUGAGCAUUGUUUCUACUGCUGCUGAUCUGAUGCAGGACUUCAAAACAGGAUACCUGACACUGGCCUCACCAAGGUCAAUGUUCAUCAGCCAAGUCAUAGGCACUGCAAUGGGUUGCGUCAUUGCUCCCUGUGUUUUCUGGCUUUUUUACAAGGCCUUUGAUAAUAUUGGGAUCAGUGGAAGUGAGUACCCUGCACCAAAUGCUGCCAUCUUCCGCAGCAUGGCAAUACUAGGUGUCGAUGGCUUCUCAUCGCUACCAAAGAACUGCCUUACUCUCUGCUACAUAUUCUUUGUUGGAGCAAUCGUUGUCAACUUGAUAAGAGAUCUUGUUCCCAAGAAGGUAUCAAACUUCAUACCAAUCCCAAUGGCGAUGGCAAUCCCAUUCUACAUAGGAUCGUAUUUCGCCAUUGACAUGUUCAUCGGGACAGUGAUCCUUUUUGUCUGGCAAAAGCUGGACAGAGCCAAGUCGGAAACAUUUGCACCGGCAGUUGCUUCCGGCUUGAUUUGCGGCGAUGGAUUGUGGGUUCUGCCUCAGUCGGUGCUUGCUCUUGCCAAGGUGAAACCUCCUAUCUGCAUGAAGUUUCUGUCAAGAGGGGUGAACGACAAGGUGGAUGCUUUCAUCACAACAUUAUCGUAG
Molecule: ribosomal RNA, 1383 nt
Filed under: Triticum aestivum (bread wheat)
Lineage: Eukaryota; Viridiplantae; Streptophyta; Magnoliopsida; Poales; Poaceae
Description: partial small subunit ribosomal RNA
Source: RNAcentral